Long non-coding RNA from Oryzias melastigma (Indian medaka), 368 nucleotides. RefSeq lists it as uncharacterized. Lineage: Eukaryota; Metazoa; Chordata; Actinopteri; Beloniformes; Adrianichthyidae. The transcript has 3 exons. The record is from RefSeq and is a predicted model, not a curated record.
GUCCACUGAAAGCUGCAAUCUGAUGGGGGUGGGGGGUGUCCCUUGCCGUGGCGUUUAUGUAACAGAUGGUAUCUUCUGGGCUGGACUGCGACCACGACCUCUUCCCUUCCCAAACGACCACGUUUCUGAGGAAGUGGUGAUUAGGUCCCUGAGGACCCGAUAAGAGAUGUGGAAGUGCGAUUGGGGCGACGCCUCCCGGGUCGCUCCAGAGACGGGACGGCAUGGAUGUUCCAAACAUAGAACCUCCGAGCGUGGCGAGAGCAGAUCGCUGAGGUCCAAACGUGUUCAGAGGAAACCGCCGCCAUCGGCACCAUCUGGGGUUAGCUUCUGUGGCUGCAGCUCUGAUUGGAUGAACCCACCUGGUCCAG